UGAUGUAAACAUAGCAAGAGGAUUUUAACAUAUAAAUUGAUCAAAUCAGUUUAUAUUUUUACAUUCAAAGGUGAAAAAAAAUGGGCGAAACUUUUAAAUUUAUUUACAUUAUGAUACUUUGUGUUUCUCUAUUUACCGUUGAAGUCGUUGGUCAAGUAAGGUGUAAAACAGACGAAGAUUGUGAUUGUGUAAAAGUUUUGACUCCUCCUGGAUUAACAUGUAUGUGCGAUGGUGGUGAAUGUGGAUUCUUUAGGGCAACUUGGGGGUGACGACGAUCACUAUCCCCAUUUUCCUUGAUAUCUAGAUGCUCUUAAUUUAUCAAAAAAUAAAUAAAAUGGAGAAUUAUUCUCAUAUUUAUGAUACUGUGUUAUUUAAAGUUUGUUGGAUUACAUUUUAUUUUUACGUUGGGUUGUAAGGCUCUGAUAUUGAGUCAUACAUUAAUGUCAUCUUAAAUAAUAUGGUCAUGAUUUAUUUUGUUGGAUCUUGAAAAGUUAUGUAUGUUAUUUUAUUACAAGAAUAAUUGUAAGGCUCUUUGAAAGCCAAUAUAUAUAUUUUUAUUUUAAAUUAUGAAAUUGAGUUGUUAUUUCUAGUGA
Molecule: long non-coding RNA, 593 nt
Organism: Trifolium pratense (red clover)
Lineage: Eukaryota; Viridiplantae; Streptophyta; Magnoliopsida; Fabales; Fabaceae
Exons: 3
Source: RefSeq, a predicted model, not a curated record